CCUCCUUUCUAAGGAUGAGUGAUAGAGAAAAAUAUCAUUCUAAAUAAUAUACAUCGGUAAUGUUGACCGUCCUCAUUUCUCUUCUUAAAGUAAUGUUUCCUUCUUGUAGGGCCGGUAGCUCAGUUGGUUAGAGCACACCCUUGAUAAGGGUGGGGUCGAAAGUUCGAGUCUUUCUCGGCCCACCAAAAACCUAAAUGGGGGAUUAGCUCAUCUGGGAGAGCGCCUGAUUUGCAUUCAGGAGGUCAGCGGUUCGAUCCCGCUAUCCUCCACCAGGAAACAUUUAGCUAUUAAAAAUGUAAAUAAAAAUAAUUAAUAUCAAUAUCUAUAUCCGAACAUUAAAAGUUAUUAUUUAAUGUCCAAAAUAAAAAUUUGAUCACAACACAGAAAAUUUUUUUCUGUGCAUAAAUCAAGCGUUUAAGGGCGUGUGGCGGAUGCCUNGGCACUGAAAGCCGAUGAAGGACGUGAUAUACUGCGAU
This 476-nucleotide unclassified non-coding RNA is filed under the name uncultured Pelagibacterales bacterium. RNAcentral's name for it is "partial 16S-23S ribosomal RNA intergenic spacer". The stretch from base 109 to 182 matches the Rfam family "tRNA". The record is from RNAcentral. Lineage: Bacteria; Pseudomonadati; Pseudomonadota; Alphaproteobacteria; Candidatus Pelagibacterales.